CACCUGCUUGGCCCCGCCCCGUCUGCAUCUCCCCUGCUUGCUCCUGCCCUGCCCUCACCCACCUGCUUGGCCCCCACUUCUGAUGCCCGCCUGCUCUGCCUGGCCCGGAGGAGGACCCCAGCUGCGCCAGGGAGGAAGGGCAGGGUCAGAGGCCCACAGUGGGAGGAGCCUCAGAAGUCACCAAGAAUGCAUGAGGAAUGGGGAAGCUGAGGCUGACCAAGGGAAGGGUGUGUGGCUGCUGUGAGAUCAGCAUCUGCGGGCCAGGGCUGGGCUGCUAGAACAGCCAGGCCACCACAGGCUUCCUGGCCAACAUCCUCCUUCAGGCCGGCUGUGGUGGCUCAUGCCUGUAAUCCAGUGCUGUGGGAGGCCGAGGUGGGAGGAUUGCUCAAGUCCAAGUGUUUGAGGCCAGUCUGGGCAGCAUAGUGAGACCACAUCUCUACAAAAAUCUGCUGUCUGAUCGCCAAGCACCCUCUGCGGGGAGCAGGGUAGGGGGACGUCUUCCUGCAGCUGUGGAAGCUCCAGGACAGGACAGCAGGGGAGAGGGCGUGGGCCUUGCCUCAUGGCGGCAUUGCUAUGGGCAGGUCAUUUGGCCUCGCUGGCCCCUACGGCCUCUACCUCUGUUCACAUCUUGUGAUGGGGUCAAGGUUGCCCUCCCAGAGUAGAAGGACAGGCAAAAGGUGAUGCUGCAAGGAUGGUGCCGAGACAGCAGUGGCACGCUGCAGGCGCUGCCCGGGCCAGGGAACUUAAUGGAGUGGGGACGGACGUGCGGCUCCACUGGUUCCCGGACUCCUGGUCUCCACUGCUGGGCACUCAGGAUCUGCCCGGAGGCCUUGGACACAGGCACCACUGGCAGAGCUUGCCCAUGGCCCUGCUGCCCCACUGCAUGGCUUCGGGCUGCCCCCCGAGGGGUCAGACCUGACGCCCCCACCAUCAGCUUUCCUGUCUGAGGGGCUCCGGGCUGCUUCCCUCCCACCUGGGGCUAGACUGUGUGUGGUUCAGAGGGAGAUGCUGGGUUGGGGGCGCCCACCACACUGGCAUGGGGACCCUGGGCCAGCGGGCCCUACUCUGGGUGGUGGUUUCUCCCCUCUAA
Molecule: long non-coding RNA, 1090 nt
Filed under: Homo sapiens (human)
Lineage: Eukaryota; Metazoa; Chordata; Mammalia; Primates; Hominidae
Description: HSALNT0361052
Source: RNAcentral